GUGUGAUGCAGGUUACUGAUCAUACAAGAGAUCUUGAAGAGAUGCAGAAUGUCUCAAAGAGAAGAAUACCUUGCAUCUCUGCAUAGGCUCACAUUCGUGGCUAUGGGCUCCUGCAUUCAAUUCAGCUGUUCCUUUCUCUACUACAUCACCUUUUAAGCUACCUUCCAAGUUCUGAACAGAAUCCUCUUGUUCCAGGGUACUCUUUUUCAUAUUUUCACUUGAAGAUUCUGCCUCCAUUUCUUCAGGUGUUACAUCUAGAAGUUGUUCAAGCUUCUCAUUUGCAUCUCUCUGGAAGACUGGUUCCAACUCUUCUCCACCUUUUGCUGUUUCCUUCAC
Long non-coding RNA from Quercus robur (English oak), 336 nucleotides. RefSeq lists it as uncharacterized. The record is from RefSeq and is a predicted model, not a curated record. The transcript is spliced from 3 exons. NCBI's taxonomy places the organism in Eukaryota, Viridiplantae, Streptophyta, Magnoliopsida, Fagales, Fagaceae.